GACGUAGGGCGCGAGCGUUGUCCGGAUUUAUUGGGCGUAAAGAGCUCGUAGGCGGCUUGUUGCGUCGGCUGUGAAAACCCAUGGCUCAACCGUGGGCUUGCGGCCGAUACGGGCAGGCUAGAGUUCGGUAGGGGAGACUGGAAUUCCCGGUGUAGCGGUGAAAUGCGCAGAUAUCAGGAGGAACACCGGUGGCGAAGGCGGGUCUCUGGGCAGUAACUGACGCUGAGGAGCGAAAGCGUGGGGAGCGAACAGG
This 253-nucleotide ribosomal RNA is filed under the name uncultured bacterium. RNAcentral's name for it is "partial 16S ribosomal RNA". It matches the Rfam family "Bacterial small subunit ribosomal RNA", at positions 524 to 776 of the family's 1533-position model. The record is from RNAcentral.